Molecule: transfer RNA, 41 nt
Filed under: Marchantia polymorpha (common liverwort)
Lineage: Eukaryota; Viridiplantae; Streptophyta; Marchantiopsida; Marchantiales; Marchantiaceae
Description: partial tRNA-Phe
Source: RNAcentral
ACAUAUUUUUGUUAUUUAUGUUAAUAUAAAGGAAAUAAAAA